Molecule: unclassified non-coding RNA, 3964 nt
Filed under: Hevea brasiliensis (rubber tree)
Lineage: Eukaryota; Viridiplantae; Streptophyta; Magnoliopsida; Malpighiales; Euphorbiaceae
Source: RNAcentral
UUUAGUUAUAAUUUAUCCUAAUAAAAACUUAAUUAAACACAAUUCCCAUCUAUACUCGUCUUGUGCUGAAGUUGGAAACGUUGAUCCACAGACUCAACGCAAGUGAACAACAAAACGACAUUGGCCCCACUAAGACAAGAAGGAAAAAAGAGGAAAUGUCCCCUUCAGCCAUAUCCCAGCACAUGUGAUGCGCAGCUUCCAUAUGGGAAAAACCAACAAAGAUAAAAAGCAUUAUAACCUGUAAAAUCAUGGUAAUAUUGAAACUAUCAGCCUCAAAAGUCAAGAUUGGCUGUGAGGCUUGAUCUUAUGUGCUAGACAAGUCUCUGAACGGAAUCUUGCUGUGGUAUUUUCUUUGCCCCCACAGAUACAGAAAGAAAACUCAACUUUGAUGAUCUGCAAAUCAAAGUUGCAUCGGUCAAGUGGCUGAGGAAUGGUAGCUAAAUCUCCCAUCAGGAUGAAAAAGAUUUAAAGGGUAUUGGAUUUUUUUUUCCAAGUAAAAGUAUCCUCUUAACAAGUGAUCAACUAUUCAUUACAUUGGCAAAGUUGAAGUAAAGCGCCUUCUCCAAAAAACAGAUAAACAUAGUGGAAUUUGAAUUGCCUAGGCAUGGAGGACAUAGAAAAUGGUAAUGAUAAUGGUAACAACGGCGUUCACCAAGAAGUGAGAGAGCCACUCUUAGGGAAGAAUCUAGCAGAUGAGGAUAAUGGAUCUAGAGGACAGAAUAGCAGCAAAGAGAGAGUCUGGAUGGUUUACCUCAGCACUUUCGUUGCCGUGUGUGGUUCUUUUGAAUUUGGAUGCUGUGUUAGUACCUAAUUUCUUUUGGAAAGUAGUUUCAGGAACUUGCAUAUUCAGAAUAAGCUUAGGAAUCGAAUUUGGUCCUGCAAUGUUAUGCUCUAAUUUACUGUUUAUUUUCAGGUAGGCUAUUCCUCACCUACUCAGGAUGCAAUAACAGAAGAUCUUUCUCUGUCUCUGGCAGAGUUAUGUAAAUGACUUGUCCCUUAUCUAUUAAGCAUCUAUCCUUCUAUAGAAUUUUGGAUAAUAAUAUAGUCAUAAGCAUAAGAAAAUUUGCAUGGGGAUCUCAAUAUCUCAUGCAACAACAUCUUUCAAUAUGAUGCAGAACAAUAUGAAAAUGCCCAUUUACUUCGCUGAGAGUAAUGAGUUCUAGUACUAUUACAUAUCGCUCAACUCUUCUGAGGCCUAUUUAUGCUUCUUUCCCUCACCAGAUUUCAAUCAGCCAACCCCAAAUACAGUGAUUAAAGCACUUGUGAUUCUCAAAUUCAAGGAUUAAGUUGGAAAACUGCAACGAUUUGGAAUUCAUCACAACAAGUCUGGCCUAAAAACUUAAAUCAUUGGUAGUAAUCACUAUUAGCAAUGAUUUAUGAUGUCUAUGAAUGAUCAAACAAUUUUGAAUAAAAACAGGCCUACAUACAGAAAACCAACGCUUGAGAUCAUAACUUCCAAACUGAUUUGUAAUAGCCUGUGUUGUAUGCAGCAUUCUAUCGUUGGUUCCAUAUUGACAUUUGGUGCAAUGAUUGGUGCAAUCACAAGUGGGCCAAUUGCUGAUUUUAUUGGUCGGAAAAGGGUAAGAAAGUGAUGUUCUGAUGUAUCUGUAGGGAUUGAGCUGCACUACUUGAGUAGGAACCAAUCCUUGAAUAUUUUUUUUUUUCCAAUGGAUAUCUACCAUAUACAUAACCUUGUGAACACAAGGAAUGGAUGCAGGCAAUGAGAGCGUCUACUGCCUUCUGUGUUGCAGGCUGGCUUUUCAUUUACUUUGCUCAGUUCAGUGUCAUCUUAAUAACUAAAUCAUUGAUUCAGCUGAAUAACAGCAAAAAUGUUUUCCAGAGAUGUGACAUACCUUUGUCUUGAUUUAUGCAAAAGGGGGCUUUGGCAUUGGACAUUGGAAGACUGGCAACAGGAUGGGAGUCUUUUCCUAUGUGGUACAUUUUUCUUAUCUUGCAGCAUUUACUUCUUAGGACAUCUUUUUUAAUUAAUAAAAAUAGAUUGCUAUUUGCUCUUGACUUCGAUGGCAAUGUUGAGUUGGAUUCCAAGGUACCUGUCUUCAUAGUUGAAAUUGCACCCUAAAAUCUUUGUAGAGCCUUAAGAAUUCUAAAUCAGGUAAUGUUAUAACAAAAUUGGAUAGAGUCGGUUUUCUGAAUUAUAGAAAUGAAAAAAAAGAAUGAAGAUCAUAGGUAAAAGGAUCAUAUCUAAUAAUUUCAUCUUAUUUUACAGCUUAUGAUAUGCAGUGGGGUGUCUUUUUUCUACGUAAUAGGGACAGUACUAACAUGGAGGGCUCUGGCAUUAACGGGUAAAUUUUCUUGAUCUAUUAUAUCCAAUAUGCAAGCAUCAAAAAAGCAUAGUAAGCAUAGCAAUAGUCAUAGUUUUUGGAAAACAAAAAAGACUUCUAAUAAGAACGCACAGCAAAUCAUUUUAGAACAGGAGGCUUACUAUAUGAAAUGGUUGCAGAACUUAUCCCCUGUGCUAUUCUGCUUUUUGGCCUAUUUCUCAUUCCAGAAUCCCCCAGAUGGCUGGCAAAGAUAGGACGAGAAAAGCAGUUUGAGACUGCACUAAAGACACUUCGCGGCAAGGAUGCAGAUAUAUCUAAUGAGGCAGCUGAAAUUAAGGAUUAUAUAGAAACUCUUGAAAGGCUCCCAAAAGCCAAACUGCUGGAUUUGUUUCAAAGAAGAUACCUGCGCUCUGUUAUUAUAGGAGUUGGAUUGAUGGUCUUUCAGCAAUUUGGAGGAAUCAACGGAGUCUGCUUUUAUGUCAGCAACAUUUUUGAGUCAGCAGGAUUUUCUGCCUCUAUUGGGACCAUAACCUAUGCCAUUAUUCAGGUUGUGGUUACUGCCCUUAACACAACUGUGAUAGACAAGGGUGGAAGAAAGCCUCUCUUAUUGGUAAAAAUUUGUUCAAGUCUGAAUUAACUUUUAAUAUUUUCUUGGACAUCACCUUUCACAUAUUGGAAGUUGAUUUUAGCUUUCUUUACAAUUUAGGUUUCUCCAUCAGGAUUGGUUAUUUCCUCCAUAAUAAUUGCUAUUUCAUUCUAUCAGAAGGCUAUAUCUAAACUAUCAGACCUAGCAAAUUUUUUUUUUUCCUUCUGUCUCUCUCAAAUAUUUGACAUGUAAAGUUUUUCCCUAUGAACUAGGCUAAUGAACUGGCACUCAACACUGCAGCUAUACUCGCAGUUAUUGGCACACUGGUAAUAUAAUAAGCACUUUCUAAUGCUAUUCCCCCACCAAAAACAUCUCUUUUUUUUUUUUUCGUUUUCCUUCUAAAAAUCAUUUAUAUAUUUUUUUUUCUUUGAUAACAGCUAUUUGUAGGAUCAUUCUCAGCAGGAAUGGCUGCAGUUCCCUCGGUUGUAAUGUCAGAGAUAAUAUACUUAACAGGACGAAAAUUCUAGCUAUUAGACUGAUGAUUCCAACAACAACAACAAUAAUAACAAUAAUUCCUUUUUUUCUGCAGAUAUUUCCUAUAAAUAUUAAAGGAGUAGGUGCAAGCCUUGCAACACUGAUGAACUGGUUUGGUGCAUGGACAAUUUCCUACACUUACAACUUUCUUAUGAGCUGGAGCUCCUAUGGUACCUUUAUUCUUUAUGCUGCAAUCAACGCCCUAGGUAUUUUGUUCGUGGCCAAGGUGGUACCAGAAACCAAAGGGCGAACCCUGGAACAAAUUCAAGCAGCCAUUAAUGCAUAGAGAGACAGAAAUGAAGCAAAGAUCAUCAUAUCUUGUAAAUAAAUGCUAUUACAUAACUAUGAUCCCAGCAAAAUGGGAUCUGGGAAGGAAUUGCUGGAGAUGACCUUGCCAUCAUUUAUCUGUAAAUGGGCACUUAAAAAUUACAGAAAAUUAUUCCUCUUGGGAAGUGUAUUUAAUGACUUUCAUAAAAAAAUUUGCACUCAAAUCAGCUGUUUGUUCAUUGAAUUGAACAUUUGUUGAUGAAUUAUCCCUACAAUAACCUGCUAUCUACCUCGG